This 398-nucleotide transfer-messenger RNA is filed under the name Candidatus Peribacteraceae. RNAcentral's name for it is "JAAYXY01 sp012515645 Standard tmRNA". It matches the Rfam family "transfer-messenger RNA". From Rfam's summary of the family: Bacterial tmRNA, also known as 10Sa RNA or SsrA, is named for its dual tRNA and mRNA-like properties. RNAcentral also lists the same sequence under 1 other name. The record is from RNAcentral. Lineage: Bacteria; Candidatus Peregrinibacteriota; Candidatus Peribacteria; Candidatus Peribacterales.
GGGGAUGACUUGGCUUCGACAGUGUGAUUCUGGUUGUCGAUCGCCCCUGUUCGGGAUGGCAAUGGCUCCCGUCACCCGCUGUUGCACACCACAUCUGCCAAAGACAGUGUGAUCGGCAAGGCUCUCGAGAAGAUGUCCGUUUUCCGGGCACCGGCUCUGGCCUACGCCUAAUCGUCCGCCCACUGCGCGGACACGCUGCCCCGUCGACUCCGCUACUCGGAUGCAGCGUAGAUAGCGGAUGCGGGCGAAACUGACGCGACUCGCCCAAACUUUAGCGUCGAACUUCCUGUGCCUUUCUUUGUCCGUUUCUUACGGCACCGGAAUAUUGAAUCGGACAUGACAGUACAGGCACGGCUGCCACACAUUGGACCCGGGUUCGAUUCCCGGCAUCUCCACCA